GGGGCUGUACUGGUUUUGACAGCGUAUGUUGCGGUAGGUGUAAGCAUGCAGUGCGUUGGAUAAUUAGCACUUUAAUCUGAAUAUUCAAAUUUCAAAUGGCAAUACUUCGUAUGCCAUGGCUGCCUAAUCAGUGAUUAGAUAGUCAUUAGGGCCGCUAGAGCAGGUUGGUCUGUUACCAAGCUCCGCCGCCGACUCAAAACAAAUACAGAAUGCUGUAGUGGAAGGCUGUGACUACUGCAAAAGACUAUACAGCUAAGCGUAAGGUUGGUUUGUUCAUUUCCUGCUUUAUGCCGACAAUUAAUAAUGAAAUAAGCAUGUAGAAAGCUUAUGGUAAUGACGUUUGGACAGGGGUUCGACUCCCCUCUGCUCCACCA
This is a non-coding RNA of Filimonas lacunae, 374 nucleotides long. It matches the Rfam family "transfer-messenger RNA". Rfam says of the family: Bacterial tmRNA, also known as 10Sa RNA or SsrA, is named for its dual tRNA and mRNA-like properties. Its role is to liberate the mRNA from a stalled ribosome. NCBI's taxonomy places the organism in Bacteria, Pseudomonadati, Bacteroidota, Chitinophagia, Chitinophagales, Chitinophagaceae. The record is from Rfam.